RNAcentral lists this long non-coding RNA (8026 nucleotides) under Sus scrofa (pig). RNAcentral describes it as "lncRNA (ENSSSCG00005028444.1)". Lineage: Eukaryota; Metazoa; Chordata; Mammalia; Artiodactyla; Suidae. The record is from RNAcentral.
GUACAUCCUGCCCAGCACUCUGCCUCCAGCGGGGAGGUCACGUGAAUGGCAGCCCUUGUGGUGGGACCCUGGGUGACAUUCUUCCUGUCCUCUUGAGCCUGUGGAACUCUUUUCCUCUGAAACCCCACGUGUCUGUGUGUGUGCGUUGCUUCUCCUGAGGGGAAGAUUUUUGGUAACAAGGGCGAUGCUGUCUGCAAGACUGAGCACUUGUACGGGGUCUGGCGUGGGGUGGGGGGCACAUGGCCGGAACAGCUGCUCUCCCUUGGGCACAGAGAAAGGUCCAGGGAGGGGGCCUGCCCUUGGGGGCCACGGAGAAGGCAGUGCAAAGCCAUGGAAGUUUCUGAGUGUUGUUUCUUGCACACAGACUGGGUUCUAGAACCUCUGAGAGGAGAAGGGGUCCUCUGUACCCCCAGCCAGCAGCCCGCGUGUGCUGGGUGCUGGAGCCAAGCUCCGGUGUGGCUGCUUGAUGGCUUCUGUCCUCUGGGCCGGCCCAGGACGGCGGCUCUCUGUUUAUUGCAACUGUGCUUGGCUUUGGUGGUUAGAAUGAGCCUGCUGGUGAUAUAAAUGGGUGAAAAUCCCUUUUCUUGGAGGCCUGACAUAGAAAUGAUGGAAAGGGGCCCUUUCACGGUGUGUCCCUGGUGUUUGCACGUCUUUAACGAGUCCCGAAGGGGAGAGAUUCUAGGUCUGUAAUGCCUUCCCACUGGCCUAGGAGUUUGGUGGAGUCUAGGUUUACAUGGAUCUUGAAACUGCUUACUGGUACCGUUUGUUUGAGAUGUGGGGGACGCCAGGCUGGUCUUUGCGGCAGAGCUGAGGUUCUUGCUGACCUGAGUUCUGGUCCAGUUUAUCCAACCUCUCUGGCUGCCUCUCUGUGGGUCUGGUGGGAUCUGGAGAGGCUGGGGACAGGUGCCACAGAGAGGACGGGCCCCAGGGCAGGCAUGUGGAGCCACUGUGGUUCCGAAACACAGCUGUGACCUGAUCCAGUCCUGUAUCUCUCGGAGAGGCUCUUAAAAGAAGGUUUGAAGGGGCUCCCUUUGCCCUCUGCUCAGUCGGAGCCUGUCUCCAUGGCCCAGGACAGGUAGGCGAAAGGACAGUGGCUGCAGACCGGGUGGCCCCCCCUCCCCCCCACCAGUGGGUGGAGGGUGGUACGGCGGUGUCUGCCAAGAUAGCCCCCAGACCCCCUAUGUGUCACACACAUCAUCCAUCAGUCUUAUAGACCCUGGCAGGUCUGCUGGUGGCUAAGAAUGGGACUCUGGGGUCGGGACAGCCCUUCCUGGUGGUCCUUUGUGGGACCCAGAAAGCACCUGCCUUUUCACAGGAGACAGACGGGGUCACCAAAGGUCCCCUAGAGUCCCCCCCCCACACACUGUGACCCUAUGUGGAGUGGGGAGGGGUGUUCAGCUGUGGUUCCUCUGGGCCCGUGUGUCCUGAGAUCUCCUCUGUGGGGGGUCGGGUAAGGAGCCUGCCAUCUGCACGGAGAUCCAGGUUCGGUUUCGAGAAACCGCGGCCUCCAAGUCUGGGUUUCCUCAUCUGCGACACGUGGGUGUUUGCGGGGACUCAGGCCAUGGUGUAUUGCCUGAGCCUGGCUCCCGGGUGGCUGUAGCUGUUUGUCCCCCUGCCCUCUGUCUGGUGUCACCCUUGGUCUCUCGAGCUGCCCUGGAAAAUACUCUCCCCUCUUUAAGCAAAACGAAGGGAGGGGUGAAGAGGUGGAGGGAGGCCUGGCGGCUCUGCGUCGGGGCUGGGGGGCUGUCCUGGUAUCGUCCUGCGGGCUGGGGCACACCUGCCCCCUGCAGGGAUGGGUGCAGAUGUGGCAAGAGGUUGGCUGUGGGCGAGCGAGCCCAGCGGACUCCCAGGUAGGGUUGUGGGGCGGGGUGAUGACCAGGGUCGGGGGAGGCCAGGCUGCCCGUCGAGACCCCUCCCGGUGGUGUGGGCGCCUGCACGACGUGUCCACCACUGUGUCCCUGGGGCCCAGACCAGGCCUGUCACCGUGAGGCCUGCGCACCACCCACACCCAGCUCAGAGUGCCUGGACGCCUGCCAGCCGCCCGGCUUGAGCCCCUCGCCCCGUGAAGCUGAGGCUUCUGUGUGUCUCCAAGGAGCUGGCGAGCCCAGCAUCCCGCGCUGUGAGCUGCGUGCAGACCGCAGCCUGGCAAUUAGCGCUGAAAUCCGGCUUUCCCCGCCAGACGUGAAAGUGCCCGGGCCUGAGUCAUGGGACCGCGGCAGCGGGCGCUUCACAGAGCGCGUGACCCAGGGCGGCGGGAGGGGCAGGGUGGGCUCCCUGACCCUCUCGCCGGCCUCGGACCCCUCGCAUAAUCCUGUGGAAUGUACACACUCUGCCCGGAGCCUCGCACGCAGCACGUUCACUCCAGACUCCCAGCCGCUGGGUUCCCGGACCCCCACGGCCUUGGCUUCUCCCCGAGACGGUGCCCCCACGUGACAGCCAGGAGACUGAGGCCACCGGGGGUGGGAGCCCAGGCUGUGGCGCCCUCCUCCCCCCCAGCCAUCUUUGUCACCCGCAUGGGGACACACGGAGUCUGGUGAGGGUGGAGAGCGGCAGGGGCCCGGGACGGUGUGGUGGCCACACCGGGCACUUGCUGGAUUGGGUGCGGAGUGUCUGUCCCGGACCCUGGGAAGCACUGCCCACCCGGGCCUCCCCACCCUGGCUUUGGGGGGGUCAGACCCCUUACAGGGAGCCGUCUAGGAAACUGUCCACCUUUCUCUUUGCUUCACGAACGAGCUUCCAGGGCCAGGCGGGCCCUGUCCCGUGCCCACGUUGGUCUCCAGUUCCUGCCCCUCCUUCCGUGACUCACAGCAGGUGCCAGAGACCGGGGGCAUGUGAGUCCACCCCCUGUCCGUGUGACCUUCCUGGGCCCUCAUCUGGAUUGCUGGCUGGGGGCCCAGAGCAACCCCUGUCCCCACCCUGGGCUUUGCCCUGUUCUGUCCCCACCAGCAGGACGCUGCCCAGCCCAGCAGCUCCUUGGCUGUGAUGGUCGGGACCCUAGCAGGAGGCCCCCACCCAUCUUUCUUCAGUCCUAGGGGCUCCUGAACCUGUCCUCCUAGGGGCUCCUGAACUGAACUACCCUCAGAUCUGCCUCCUGGCUGGGUUGUGCCCCUGGGCUGCACCCACGCCUCCGCUGGGGUUCGGGGGGAUAUACGUGCUCUGAAGGCUUCACCCUGAUGCGGGCAGCCUAGUCCAUGCUGAGUCACCCUGACCUUGGCUGCUGGCUGACAACCCAAUCAUCUGCGAGUCGCCCCAAAUGUAGCUAGUGCAGAACCGAGGCCACUGUCCGGAGCCAUGGGCCCACGGCGGGCCCCCACUGUAACCCUGCAGCCAGCCCAGUGUUUUGUCCCUGUCCCCGUGAGCUGGUAUGGGAUUCGGCCCUCAGCAUGGACACAGGUCCCCUUCCAGGGGACCGGCUGGCUGUGUGACCUGGGGCCAGGUGCUUGGCCUCUCUGGGCCUGUUUCGGAGAGAGCCUGGGGCGGGGCAGAGCUGGGUGGAGGGUGUAUGACUCAGCCUGUCCAUUGCAACAGGGGUCUGGUGUCAGAGGGACUGUCCAGGAAAGAGGCACAGCGGAGCAGGUGCGCCUGGCCAGUGGACACCCUGGGGGAGCAGGUGCUUCCCCCACUGCGGUGCAGGAGGUGGGUGGAGGGGGCCUGGCUGGAGCCACUUAAGGCCUGGCUACCCCACUCGGUAGGAGCCACAUGUUACUUAGAGCUGAGGGAAAGGACGAAGGGGGUGUGGGGGAGGGGUGCUGGGGACAGAAGUCCCCCCAGGGAGCCUGAAGGAUGGGGCAGGGGGUGAACGGGUCUGCUCGCCUCUGCUGAGACACAGAGGGACCUCGGGGGUCCGCACGUGGCCUUAUCACAGGUACAAUGAGUGUCCCUUAGUCUUGCGGGGAGGGGUCUCUCAGCUCAGCUUCAGUUCCUCUCAGGUCCACACGUCCUGGGGUGGCCCUGCCUGGUUGCGGGGGGGCACGCAAGAAUACAUCCUGUAGCUUAAUGAGGCAGGGGCCGUGGCCGGGACAGGCAGUGCUCCAGGCACGUCCUGCUCAAGACACCUGUCCAAGGCCCUCCCCUCCCCACCCCUAAUACAACAGCCUGCUUCAGACUCGGGUCUGAACCAGUGCGAGGCCAUGCCCCCUACUCAGCCGGCCCCUCAUGGGUUUGUGGAGGGUGGAGCUCUGUGGGUGUUGCCCCCCCACCCCCGUGGUGGGUCUCCCUGGCUGCACCUAGCAAGGUGGGAGCACAGUGUGUGGGGGGAAAGCAGUGGCGGGUGGGGAGCAGGGGGUGGGACCUCUCCGGGCAGCCAGAGUUGAAGGACUCUGUUAAGUGUCCAGAGCACUGGAGUUGGACUUAGGAAGCCCGGGUGGACUCGCCCCAUUCCCCUGGUGAUGGCUGUGUGACUUCCAACAAGUCGGACAACCUCUCUGAGCUCCAUGGACCCCAGCUGGCAAAUGAAGGUGCUGGGGAAGCUGCAGCAGGUUUGGGUGGGGCUGUGGUGGGAGUUUGCAGGCCCCGAAGGUGCGGGCCGGGGAUGAGAUUGAUCCCAGAGUCCCUGCACAUACAGCCUUGGCUGUCCUCAGCAGUGACCGCUCGGAUUAGUAACCUGGAGGCAAGCUGGACGCCGCGUUUGCCGGUCAGAAUUCACCCAAUUCACCCAUGGGGCCGGCAGCGGUAUUCCUGUUUAGCUGAUGAGGCAGCAGGCUCAAACCUGCUAAGUUCGCUGUCCAGAGUCCCACAGCGUGUCAGAAAUCUAGGCCAAUUUAGGGCGGGGGCUCCUUCCUAUGCAUCCUGGCUGUUCCUGGGGCCCUGGAAGCGGGGGGCUUGGGAACCGCUGUAUUCUGCAGGGCUCUGCUUCAGAAGAACCCAAAAAAGUGAGCCAUGGCCCCUAGCAGGGCUUCCUGCCACCCUCCGCAGACCUCAGAGUGGACUGAAUCUGCCUUUUUCUGAGGAGUUUUGAAAUGAAGUGUCAACCCUGUCCCCGAUGCCCCUGUUCCAGACAUGCGGCCAGGGCAGCUCUGUGGCUGGGAGUCACCCAGUCCCGGUUACAAAUGGAAAACCUGAAACACAUGUUCCAGGGCUGGUUGCACUUGAAAAAGUGGCACAGCCUCUUAAUAAUUCUUUUUGCAGGAAAUCAGUGACUCGACAGGGGCGGGGGCGUUUGAAGGGGCGGUGUCCCGAUGGGCCUGAGGUUUCAGGUCUGGCUGCUCCUGGGAGACUGGACCUGGGUUGGGUGCCAUCCGAGCAGCCUCAGCCCCUGGCAGUUCCUUUAUUUUCCUUCGGUUCUCUGGACACUCUGGAGGCUUCUGUCUUUUCAUUUUAUUUUAUUUCAUUUUAUUUUACUUUGCUUUUUAGGGCCACGACUGUGGCAUACAGAGAUUCCCAGGCUAGGGGUUGAAUCCAAGCUACAGCUGCCGGCCUACACCGCGGCCACAGCAACGCGGCAUCCAAGCCAUGUCUGCGACCUACAGCACAGCUCACGGCAAUGCUGGGUCCCUAACCCACUGAGCCAGACCAGGGAUUGAAGCCACAACCUCAUGGUUCCUAGACAGAUUCGUUUCCACUGCGCCAUGACGGGAACUUGGAGGCUCUUGAGCGGGGUAGAUCCGAAGCCAGGCUGCUGCCCUGAGCGGGCUCCGCAUUCGAGGGUGUCUGGCGGUGAGGCCAGCGUUCUCACUUGUUUGCGUGCCACUGGCUCCUGUGUGUUCACUGUCUUGGAGCUGGUAGAGGUGACUUACCCGUCAUGAAGUCACCCCCCGGGUCUCCACGGGGUCCUGGGGACUCUGGCGUUGGUGUCCCUGAGCUGUGUGGGAGGCAGGGCCCUGCCGUAUGAGGUUGUCCCGGACGACGUCUGGGUGUCCAGCGCCGGGGCGCAGGGCCUGGCUCGCUGAGCACCCACUAAACCCUGCAUCCCCGUGUCCCGGGCGGCUUUGGACUGUGGGUAAAGGCAAGAUGGGACCCCAGAGCGACCAGAUGCUUUCUCAGUGGUCAUGUCUGCCUCAGGCCACCUGGGCCACUUAGAAGCCUGUGCUCACUGGCCCCAGGCCAGGAGCCUCAGCCCACCUGCAGCCAGGGCUCCAGGCCUGGAUGCCCAGUGAGAGCCCCUGGUCAGUGGGCGGAUUGGGCAGACGGGCAGGCUGCUGGGCCCUGGUCUGUGUGGCCAUAGGCUCAGUGGUCAGCUGGUACUGCUCUCUGGCCUGGUGCCAGUGGCUUCUCCAGUUCCUGUAGCCUGCGCAGCCUACCAGCAACGUCCGCUGCCGUCUCGGGGCCCACGGGGUGGGGGAGGCAGCAGAGCUCAUUGCCUGGCGUCUGGGCUGCUCCCAUCUGUGUGGAGCUGUCCUCGGCCUCCAACCCUCUCUGCCUCCAGUCCUGGCCCCAUUUAUCCAAAGAAUCCUCAAGAUUUGCGCAAAAAAAGCACAUUUUUCUAAGAGGCUCAUUUGAGGAACCCGCUGGUGGGUUCCAGGCUCUGGGGCUCUGCCCAGUGGGCCUGUGUCCAACCCAGGUGACAGCUGCACUCACCCCUUUUCAUGGUGGGGCACGGGGUGGGGAACAAUCCCUGCAACCCUGGACCAGGCAUGAGGGAGCCGCAGCCCCGUCAGAGACACAGGGGAGGGGGGGAGUGGGUUUUCUGACGAGUGGGGCGGGCCAGCCCCCGAUGCUCUGGUUCCACCUGGUCCCUUGAGCUCACAGCCUGGCUGUGGUGUGUGAGACCUCAGGUGAGCAGAGGCGGGGAGGGUGUGGGGCUUGGAGUCGGCGGCCACCCUGGGAGCACUCAGGGCCCUGGGUGAUGGAGUGAGCCUCAGGAUGCAGCAGGUGCUCGCACUGGGCCUGAGUAUACAGUGGGUGCGCGCACUGGGCCUGAGUAUACAGCGGGGGCGCGUACCGAGCCUCAGUAUACAACAGGUGCUCAUCCCUUGCCCUCGUGGCCAGGACCAUUGCUGGUUUUGUUUACGGGCGUCCACAGACUCCUAGGUACCAGACCUGAUAACUCCUGUCGGGUUUUACCCUCCUGGUAGAGUGGAUUUGGGUGUGUGUUCUGUGUUUGGUUUUGGUGUGUUUAAACCGGGACAGGCUCCCCUUGAACUGCGAGCCCUCCAGUGUGAGCGAGACAGCCAGCCGCUGGUCACAUAAAGGAGCCGUGAGACCUGCCCACAUGAAGUCCCGUCUCAGCAGUCAGGCCUGGGGGCAGACCCAGGGCUGGCGGCUGAGCCUGGAGGUGGAUCCCGGAGGCCUGGCCGUCGAGAUAACCAGGUCAGGCUGAGGUGAGAGUUCAGGCCAGGCCGUGCUGAGGGGAGAGGGAGCUGGGUGCUCAGAUAAGGACCCUCCUGGAGGCUGGUGACAAGCGGUCUUGGCAGGCACACCAAGGGCUCUUCCGCCUCUCACUGGACGUCAUGAGGACGGGGUGCAGGUAGAGCCCUGGGGGGCCCCUUGGCCGAGGGACAGAGACUCUGCAGGAGGCAGGGCUCCCCUGCCAGCCCUCUAGGUGGCUGUGUCACAGCAGGAGGACAGGACAGGCACAGCCCCGAAGGGCGGGCUCCUGCCUCUGCACGGGCCCCAGAGCCGCUCGCCUGCAGGCCACUGGGCUCUAUCUCCCCUGCCCCAGCUGUUGCUGUGCUUAUCUGGGGGUGCUGGCAAGGGAACCCCAAGAGUGAGCUCCUGACAGUGUGCCUGCCUCACCUCCCUCACCGGCCUGCCGGUGGCCUAGGGUGUGCUGUGUGUGUCCGCCGCCCCCACAGCACACAUGGUGGCGGCUGGGGGGCUGCGGACAAGUCUGGGUGUGACACUUGUUUCACCCAGAGCCUCCCCAGGCCCCAGCCCCCCAGCCUGCAGGUGCGGAAGCUGAAGCACCUUGUGCAGGUGAUGCAGCUGCGAACCCAGCCCCCCAGACUGCCCCCCAGGACCGCUUUGGUCAGGCUCACUGGCGACCCCUUUACUCUUCCGACUCUUUCAUUUGGAGGUUUUAGAAAGGACACUAUGGAGCCUGUGUUUACUCAUCAAGUCAAUGAGCAUUAAACUUUCAUCUUAAAAA